Molecule: RNA transcript, 1807 nt
Organism: Quercus robur (English oak)
Lineage: Eukaryota; Viridiplantae; Streptophyta; Magnoliopsida; Fagales; Fagaceae
Gene name: E3 ubiquitin-protein ligase RING1
Exons: 3
Source: RefSeq, a predicted model, not a curated record
AACAACUUCACGCCACAGGUGGUUGUAAAUUUGCAAUUGAAUUGAACGCAAAAUCAAAAUUUGACUCACUUAAAAAUAAAAAGAAAAAGGUUCUCUCACUCUCCCUCCGGUCUACGUCGUUUCGUUCUCCAUCUCUCUUUUUUCUCUUUUGAGUUGGUUUGAUAAGAAUGUCUUCUUCCGGCUUAAGCGGAGAAGGAGGAGGAGGAGGAGGAGGAGGAGACACAGCAACGGCGGCUCAACCUCAACUGUUCUUCUGCCACCAAUGCGACCAUACGGUGACCUUAACCCCUUCACCUACCUCCGAUCUCACCUGCCCUACUUGCCAUGGUGGGUUUCUUGAAGAACUGGAAAACCCUAACCCUAAUCCUCAUCCUUUUUUCGCAAAUCCCUUUCUUUAUUCUUCUUCUUCUACUUCUGACCUUCCUGUACCAGGCGCGCUUCCCCUAUUAUUCUCCUCCUCCUCCUCCUCUUCUUCCGCCUCCCCAAUCUUCAAUGAUCUCUCCGCCUUCUUCGGAGCCCACCCUCACCCCCACGCCGGUUUUGCUCCAACUCGCUCAUCUCCCUCUCCCUCUCCCUCUCCCUUCGACGACCCUGAAGCUUUCAACCCCUUUGUUUUCCUUCAGAACUACCUCCAAAACCUAGGCGGCAACGUUGAGGUCGUCAUUAAUUCUGGAGGCGGUGACUCUCCCUUCCGUGCCGGUAUGGGUAUUGGCGGCUCCCCUAAUGUCAAUCUCGGCGACUAUUUCUUCGGCCCGGGACUCGAGCAGUUGAUCCAACAGCUGGCUGAGAACGACCCUAACCGAUACGGUACACCCCCGGCAUCCAAAUCGGCUGUCCAGACAUUGCCGGAUAUUAAGAUUUCUCAGGAUUUGUUGGCUUCGGAUUCAUCUCAGUGUGCCGUCUGCAAGGACUCCUUCGAGCUCCGCGAGGAGGCCAAGCAGAUGCCAUGUAAGCACAUUUACCAUGCUGACUGUAUUCUGCCUUGGUUGGAAUUGCAUAAUUCUUGUCCUGUGUGUCGGUAUGAGUUGCCCACCGAUGAUCCUGAUUACGAGCAGAGGAAUCGUGGUGUUGCCGCUGCCAGGCCGGUGUCUGCAGGUGCUGGCAAUCAGGCUCAGACUCAGACUGGUUCAACUUGGGGUGCUGCAGCAGGUGGGAAUAUUGGUGGUUCUGCUUCUGCUGCCACUGGCAUUGCUAGUGGAAUUCAGAAUCAGACUGGGAGCUCUGGAGAAAACCCACCAACCCCAAGGACUAUGGAGAGGAGAUUUAGGAUCUCAUUGCCCUUUCCAUGGCCAUUUGGUAGGACACCGGCGUCACCUGCAGAGACCAGCAAUAGUGGGAGUGGCACUGGCAACAACAGUGGAAGCAAUGAUGGGGAAGGGAACUCGGGAAAUAGAGGAAAUACCAACUUCCAAUCAGAGACCAGACAGGAAGAUCUUGAUUGAGGACCAAUGCAAAUGCUCUUGUUAGGUGGGUAAUGGGGAGCUAACGGAUUGAAGCACAGGUGGACAAAGUUUUAAACCAUGGGUAGGCAAAGUGCAAAUGGGUCAAACCACAGGUAUGAAGACUCGUCUGAAUCUGCAAGCAUUGAACAUAGAAAAGAUCUUACAUGUUAAUGAUUAGUGAGAGUUGCAUUUAAGUAUUUUGUCAUAAUAAUCAUAGGUAAAUGCCCAUCUCCAAUUUCAUGUUUUGAAUUCUUUAUAGAUUUCAUUAUUUUACGAGAAUUAUUGUGCAUUGUAAAAUUUUACCAUUUGGGGACCAAUCUAUACUUUUUGGAAUGUUAUUUUUCAUCAAACCCUUUUCAGUUGCA